AAGAAGGCUACAAUCAUCAGCGUUGCAUCGACAACAUUUUUCUACAUGCUUUGCGGCUGUUUUGGAUAUGCUGCGUUUGGAAAUUCAAGUCCUGGAAACCUUUUAACCGGUUUUGGUUUCUAUAACCCAUUUUGGCUCCUUGACAUAGCCAAUGCUGCCAUAGUUAUCCACCUCAUUGGUGCGUACCAAGUCUACUGCCAACCCCUUUAUGCAUUCGUCGAAAAUUACACGGCAAAAAGAUUCCCUCGCAGUGAUUUUGUGAAUAAGAACAUAAAAAUUCCAAUCCCUGGCAUACAAAUGUACAAGCUCAACCUAUUUAGGUUGGUUUGGAGGACAAUUUUUGUAAUAUUAACAACUUUGGUAUCUAUGCUCCUUCCAUUUUUCAAUGACAUAGUUGGACUUCUUGGUGCACUCGGAUUUUGGCCUCUUACAGUUUAUUUUCCGGUGGAGAUGUAUAUAAUUCAAAAGAGAAUACGGAAGUGGAGCUCGAAAUGGAUCUGUCUUCAAUUGCUUAGUGUUGCGUGUCUUAUAAUCUCUAUAGCUGCUACUGUUGGUUCUGUUGCUGGGAUUAUACUUGAUCUUAAAGUUUUUAAGCCAUUCAAAACUAUGUAUUGAUUAAAUAUUGUGACUACAUUAAAUUUGUGUAUGAUCAGUAUAUAAUUUGAGAUUUCAUGAGAUACAUACUUUAUAUUGCAGCUUGUGUGAAGGGAUUAAUAUUGGAAGGGGGAAAUGUUGUACACAACUGUGUGAGACUAUUUUAUUACAUGGAAAAAUAUUUUAUUGUAAGUUGAACCUUGAACAUGAACAUGGACUGAAAUGUUUUCUUUUUGUUUUUCCUUCCUUCGGAUCCAAUGCAAUAUGAAAGAAAUAAAACAGUUUAUAGACUCUUGUUAUCUUCUUGAGUUGGCUAUUGUAAUUAGAAUUUUGAAAACUAAUCUUCACUAAAAAAUUAUUACAUGGAUAACAUAAGAAAAAAGUAGAAGAAUUUGAUAUCCAAUUUCAAUUUAUUUGGUUUGUGUGUAGAGAGAGAAUGAAAGUAAAAUUAAGAGUAAAUGGUCAUUUUAGUCCCGGACUCUGUAGCUCGCUGUCAUAAAGGUCUCUUGACUCACGAUUAAAAACAAAGUAGUCUCUGAAUGUGCACUUCCGUUAUCAGUUUAGUCAUUGGCGUUAAAAAAUUAUGUUAACUAAUGAGGUGGCAAAUGUUUUGUGCUGACAAGGUGCGUGAGUUGUCACAAGGGCUAAAGUGAAAGUAUAAAAUGGUCACUUUGGUCCUUGAACCGAAAAUCCUCCAAAUUAAAUCUCAAAUCCUUAAAUUCCGAAUUUAAUCCCCAAAUCCCUAAAUCUCAAAUCUCUAAAUCUCAUCUAAUUUCCUCUUUAGUUCAAAAUUAAAUCUUCCAUUAAACACCAAAAUUGAAUCACAUGAUGGAUGUUGGUGCAAACUUGUCUUAACAAAGUGUUGCUCAUUCAUCAAGAAUUGAGUCAUCUUCCUCAAUGAAGUUGUCCUGAGCAUAUAGAAGAAACAAAUAGAAAACAUUAAAAUGGUCAUUAAGGUCGCUGAGUGUGCAUACUUACUAUCAGUUAGGUCCCUAACAGUAAACACUUACUGUUACUAAGGUCCCUGACAAACCAUAGGUAUUAAUGUUGAAGAGAAUGUUGUUGAGAAUGAUUUUCCUAACAACAAUGACAUUUACCAUUCUGAAGAACUAAGGAUCCCUAUUACCAAUGAUGAAUGUGAUGGAAAUGAAGAACAGGUUUUCCCUCUGUUUAAUUCAAAUGCAAAGUUUGCAAGUUCACUUAGAGAUAGGAAUGAAAUUUGAUACUUUGGAUAUAUUCAAUGAAGUUGUGAGGAACUACACAAUAUACCAUGGAAGAAAUAUAAAGUGGUUGAAAAAUAACAAACAAUAGUAUAGAGCUAUAUGCAAUGAUCAAGAAUGCAAUUCAAUGAUACAAACUCUACGUACUUUUUAUAUAGUAGUGAUUAUUUUUAUACGUGUUUAUGAUGCUGCCACUUUGUGCAUGUACGUGUUUAUUGUCAUUUUAGUCCCUGUAAUAAUUUUCUACUCUCACUUUAGUCCAAUGUGACACCUCAUCAGUUAACAUAAUUUUUUAACGUUAAGGGACUAAACUGAUAACGGAAAUGCACAUUCAAGGACUAAUUUAUACUUAAUCAUGAGUCAAGGAACUUUGUGAUAACGAUGUGCAGAGUCAGAUACUAAAAUGGUAUGUGUUUAUUCUCCCUUAUAUAUAGCCCACGUUCGACACCAUCUUCCUUCAUUACAUAAACUAGACACACGUUUAUUCAAAUCAUCUAAUAUUGUUAUAAGCAAGAGUGCCCAAAAGGGCAGCACAUACACACAACAAACACCUUCUUUGUGUCUCAUCCUUUCCUCUCUUUGACUUCCAACAUCACUGUUUUUGCCUGUACUUCCUAACUCUUAUAGUUAAAUUAGUUUUUGUUGACUUUUUUUGAGCUUUUGCAUGAAUUAAACGUUCUUACAUGUUUCUGCCUCGUAGUAAAUCAUUAUUAAUUAACCACUCUAAACUAGUACAUCUCUGAGCUGUACCCUUCUUUGCCACUUUUCCAAAUAUUUAUAUUAGAACCUUUCUUCUAGUACAUACUCCCCAUUGUUCACCAAAUUCAAGAAUCAAGAUUGUUUUUUCAUCACAAUAUUAGUUGGAAAUUUUUAUAAACCUAACUCUGGUUGAUUAGUCUUUUAUCAUAACAAAGAUGGUUGACAAGAAUGGUAGCACGAAUCAUCACCAAACAUUUGAUGUCUCCAUUGAUCAACAAAGAGAUUCUAAGUACUUCGACGAUGAUGGUCGCGUCAAAAGAACCGGUAAUUAAGUAUUGACUUUUAUUUUGUUUGCAUACUCGACCCAAAUUCUAAUAUGUUUCUUGAAAAACACAGGAACUGUUUGGACUGCAAGUGCACAUGUAAUAACAGCUGUGGUAGGGUCUGGAGUUCUGUCUCUAGCUUGGGCUAUUGCUCAACUCGGAUGGAUUGCUGGUCCUAUUGUCAUGAUUCUCUUUGCUUGGGUUACUUACUACACUGCCAUUCUUCUUUGUGAAUGUUAUCGUAAUGAUGAUCCUAUCAAUGGCAAGAGAAACUACACUUACAUGGAUGUUGUUCAUUCCAAUCUUGGUAAAUUCUUCUCUGUGAAUAUAUAUAAAGAAAAGCAAAUUCAAAAAAAAUUCAGUAUGAAAUGUUUACUUUUGUUUUUGUGUUUAUGUUUGUUUAGGUGGUUUUCAAGUCACGUUAUGUGGGAUAGUUCAGUAUCUAAACCUUGUAGGAGUUGCCAUUGGAUACACUAUAGCUUCUGCCAUAAGCAUGAUGUAAGUUUAAUUGAGAUCUUAAUCAUUUAGUUAAUUUCAUUGAAGAAAAUAUCCAAAGAAUAUGGUAUAAUUAACUUUGGUUAAUUCUGUAUGAAACAGGGCAAUUGAAAGGUCAAAUUGUUUCCAUAGAAGUGGUGGAAAAGAUCCAUGUCACAUGAAAAGCAAUAUUUACAUGAUUUCAUUUGGUGCAGUGCAAAUUAUAUUCUCUCAAAUUCCAGAUUUUGAUCAAUUGUGGUGGCUCUCCAGUUUAGCUGCUGUUAUGUCCUUUACAUACUCCACAAUUGGUCUUGGCCUUGGUAUUGGAAAAGUUAUAGGAAAUAAAAAGAUUGAUGGAACCAUGGCUGGGGUAACUGAUGUGACAAAAGCUCAGAAAGUUUGGGGGAGUUUGCAAGCUCUUGGUGACAUAGCCUUUGCAUACUCAUACUCCAUGAUCCUUAUAGAAAUUCAGGUAUUAGUUCAUUUUCCUAUAUUUUCUUUGUUAUAAGACUUGUUUUGUUCCACAACAUUAUAAAAAUAUUUCCAACAAGCAUAAAAUCCAAGUCCUGUAUUGUAAAAAAGAAAAGGCUUGAAAAAUAAGUAUAAUGAAUGAUAUUUAUCUUCUUAUAAGUUAGUUUUAUAGGGUUGAGUUAAGCUCAAUCAAAAUUUAAAAAAUUAUGUUGUUAUGAAUCAGGACACGGUAAAAGCACCACCUCCGUCUGAGGCAAAAACAAUGAAGAAGGCUACAAUCAUCGGCGUUGCAGCGACAGCAUUUUUCUACAUGCUUUGUGGCUGUUUUGGAUACGCGGCAUUUGGAAAUUCAAGUCCUGGAAACCUUUUAACCGGUUUUGGUUUCUAUAACCCAUUUUGGCUCCUUGACAUAGCCAAUGUUGCCAUAGUUAUCCACCUCAUUGGUGCAUACCAAGUCUACUGCCAACCCCUUUAUGCAUUCGUUGAAAAUUACACAGCGAAAAGAUUCCCUCAGAGUGAUCUUGUGAAUA
This 4311-nucleotide long non-coding RNA is filed under the name Medicago truncatula (barrel medic). RNAcentral's name for it is "long non-coding RNA (MTRU_LNC001024)". The record is from RNAcentral. Lineage: Eukaryota; Viridiplantae; Streptophyta; Magnoliopsida; Fabales; Fabaceae.